GGCUCAGUGAAGGAAAGUAAAAACAAAAACAAAAACAAAAACAAAAACAAAAGAGCAUUAGUAACUCCAGCAGAAGUAACGUAAAUAAUUAUCUAAACAAAAAAAACAUAAAUACAAUCGCAUGCAAUAAUAUCAUACAGUAACUACCAUAACUAACAGCCAUAGGGGGGACAUAAGCUAAGCUAAAACACAAGUCAUCUAUGGGUAACCCUGCU
Molecule: long non-coding RNA, 215 nt
Filed under: Nicotiana benthamiana
Lineage: Eukaryota; Viridiplantae; Streptophyta; Magnoliopsida; Solanales; Solanaceae
Description: long non-coding RNA (NBEN_LNC027034)
Source: RNAcentral